Molecule: long non-coding RNA, 518 nt
Organism: Meriones unguiculatus (Mongolian gerbil)
Lineage: Eukaryota; Metazoa; Chordata; Mammalia; Rodentia; Muridae
Exons: 3
Source: RefSeq, a predicted model, not a curated record
GUUUUGGGGCCCACAGUUCCGUCUGUAGGUCUCUAUGCCAUCGCUGCUCUCCUGCUAAUCACACACAGUGUGGGUAGGCGUCACUGUCUUAGAAUCUCCAUUAUCCACUUACAAGCAUUACUGGGCAGUUCCAGUAUGAGAAAUGCAGGAAAAUCAGUGGUAUAAUUAAUGAGAAACCAACUCAUGCCUGAAGAUUCAUUUCCUGUGCUUAUAGGUGUGGAAUCCGGAAGCUGCUGUUUUUAUUCAGAGGCCACAAGUCCUGAUGCUCUCUCUUCGAUUCCAGGGCACACUCUGGCAAUGCAACUCUGGGUGCUGUUAGAUAGGCAGCUCUCCCAGAUUGAAGAAUUAUAUCACUGUUUCUUAGACUUUUCUCACUUUCCACUGAGGAAAGGUGAUUGAUUCUUCUCGGAUUGGCAUAUACUAUUUACUGAAAGAAUUUUUUAAAUAUUGAUUAAAAUACUACACUGAAUUAUUUUACUUUCCUUUAUAUGCUUCUUUAAUUUUUUACUACAACAUAU